UAAACUAGGAUUAGAUACCCUAUUAUUUUAGAGUGUUAAGUUGUUUGCCUGAGUAGUACUAGCUAUGUUCUUGAAACUUAAAGAAUUUGGCGGUAUCUCAUUCCGUCCAGAGGAAUCUGUCUCGUUAUCGAUAGUCCGCGUUGGACCUUACUUAGUUGCUUUGGUUUGUAUACCGCCGUUUAUUGAUUAUCUUUUUAGGGUUUGAUUAAUUUUCUGGUUUCUUUAUUUUGAUUUAUUUCAGGUCAAGGUGCAGCUUGUUUCUAAGUGAAUGAUGGAUUACAUUGUUAUUUGUUUGUGGAUUGCUGAUUUUGAUAUUGGUAUGAAAUUGGAUUUGGUUGUAAUGAUUUGUAGAUUAUUAUUAUGAUAAAUGGUUCUGGGAUAUGCACACAUCGCCCGUCGCUCUCGUUUAUUUAAUGAGAUAAGUCGUAACAUAGUA
Molecule: ribosomal RNA, 436 nt
Filed under: Microcerotermes serrula
Lineage: Eukaryota; Metazoa; Arthropoda; Insecta; Blattodea; Termitidae
Description: partial 12S ribosomal RNA
Source: RNAcentral